This 69-nucleotide transfer RNA is filed under the name Ambassis gymnocephalus (bald glassy). RNAcentral describes it as "tRNA-Asp". It matches the Rfam family "tRNA". From Rfam's summary of the family: Transfer RNA (tRNA) molecules are approximately 80 nucleotides in length. Lineage: Eukaryota; Metazoa; Chordata; Actinopteri; Ambassidae. The record is from RNAcentral.
AAGAUACUAGUAAAAAAAUUACAUUGCCUUGUCGAGGCAAAUUUGUGGGUUAAACUCCCACGUAUCUUA